This 497-nucleotide ribosomal RNA is filed under the name uncultured bacterium. RNAcentral's name for it is "partial 16S ribosomal RNA". It matches the Rfam family "Bacterial small subunit ribosomal RNA", at positions 28 to 507 of the family's 1533-position model. The record is from RNAcentral.
GAUGAACGCUGGCGGCGUGCCUAAUACAUGCAAGUCGAGCGAACAGACGAGGAGCUUGCUCCUCUGACGUUAGCGGCGGACGGGUGAGUAACACGUGGAUAACCUACCUAUAAGACUGGGAUAACUUCGGGAAACCGGAGCUAAUACCGGAUAAUAUAUUGAACCGCAUGGUUCAAUAGUGAAAGACGGUUUUGCUGUCACUUAUAGAUGGAUCCGCGCCGCAUUAGCUAGUUGGUAAGGUAACGGCUUACCAAGGCAACGAUGCGUAGCCGACCUGAGAGGGUGAUCGGCCACACUGGAACUGAGACAGGGUCAAGACUCCUACGGGAGGCAGCAGUAGGGAAUCUUCCGCAAUGGGCGGAAGCCUGACGGAACAACGCCGCGUGAGUGAUGAAGGUCUUCGGAUCGUAAAACUCUGUUAUUAGGGAAGAACAAAUGUGUAAGUAACUAUGCACGUCUUGACGGUACCUAAUCAGAAAGCCACGGCUAACUACGUG